UGGGGAAUUUUGCACAAUGGGGGAAACCCUGAUGCAGCGACGCCGCGUGAUUUAGAAGGCCUUCGGGUUGUAAAAAUCUUUUCUAUGGGAAGAAAAUGACAGUACCAUAGGAAUAAGGACCGGCUAAUUACGUGCCAGCAGCCGCGGUAAUACGUAAGGUCCGAGCGUUGUCCGGAAUCAUUGGGCGUAAAGGGUACGUAGGCGGGUAAGCAAGUUAGAAGUGAAAUCCUGUAGCUCAACUACAGUAAGCUUUUAAAACUGCUCAUCUUGAGGUAUGGAAGGGAAAGUGGAAUUCCUAGUGUAGCGGUGAAAUGCGCAGAUAUUAGGAGGAAUACCGGUGGCGAAGGCGACUUUCUGGCCAUAAUCUGACGCUGAGGUACGAAAGCGUGGGUAGCAAACAGG
This 402-nucleotide ribosomal RNA is filed under the name Bacteroidota bacterium. RNAcentral describes it as "Bacteroidetes bacterium partial 16S ribosomal RNA". It matches the Rfam family "Bacterial small subunit ribosomal RNA", at positions 355 to 776 of the family's 1533-position model. The record is from RNAcentral. Lineage: Bacteria; Pseudomonadati; Bacteroidota.